Molecule: long non-coding RNA, 331 nt
Organism: Puntigrus tetrazona (Sumatra barb)
Lineage: Eukaryota; Metazoa; Chordata; Actinopteri; Cypriniformes; Cyprinidae
Exons: 3
Source: RefSeq, a predicted model, not a curated record
UGGUGAGACCGUGCGUCCAUCGCUCCAUCCAUCCCUGUUUCCCAGCGUGUGCGCCCCAGAUGGGAGCCAGGAGCAGACGUCCAUGCAGACUUCAGCGCGGUUGCUGGGCAGGCUGCUGGAAGCCACCCUGUCCCCCGAGUGUCCUGCCUGAGGAAGCUCAAAAUAUGUGCUGUCUGGCUCGCUGUAAUAACACAGAGAGAAGCCGCAUCAAUCACGAACGGAUACGAGGGUGCUCCACAAGUGCUCAAAGGUUGUUCCCUCAUCAGCGGUGGACGGCUGGGACAUCUUGGAUGUUGGACAAUCCACCGCAGGGCAGAUUACACUAAAAAUC